CAGUCGCCGCGGUAAUACAGAGGGUGCGAGCGUUAAUCGGAUUUACUGGGCGUAAAGCGUGCGUAGGCGGCUUCUUAAGUAGGAUGUGAAAUCCCUGAGCUUAACUUAGGAAUUGCAUUCGAUACUGGGAAGCUAGAGUAUGGGAGAGGAUGGUAGAAUUCCAGGUGUAGCGGUGAAAUGCGUAGAGAUCUGGAGGAAUACCGAUGGCGAAGGCAGCCAUCUGGCCUAAUACUGACGCUGAGGUACGAAAGCAUGGGGAGCAAACAGGAUUAGAUACCCCAGUAGUCCCUGUCUCUUAUAC
RNAcentral lists this ribosomal RNA (301 nucleotides) under uncultured bacterium. RNAcentral's name for it is "partial 16S ribosomal RNA". It matches the Rfam family "Bacterial small subunit ribosomal RNA", at positions 509 to 807 of the family's 1533-position model. The record is from RNAcentral.